RNA transcript from Fragaria vesca subsp. vesca, 720 nucleotides. RefSeq lists it as uncharacterized. The record is from RefSeq and is a predicted model, not a curated record. The transcript is spliced from 2 exons. Lineage: Eukaryota; Viridiplantae; Streptophyta; Magnoliopsida; Rosales; Rosaceae.
GGAAGAAGCUACAAAGCUAGCUCUGAAUCUGCCCAGACUUUGAUACGUUACAGUUUUACAUCGUGACCAGUAUAAGUAAUUCCCGCAAAGGUUUAAAUGUUUGGAAGGUUAGAGAUGUUGAAGCAGAUGGAAAAAGUGAAAAUGGGGUUUUACUAAAGAGACUUUUGCGGAAGUUCAAGUGUUUGAGAGGUUAGAGACCAAAGGAAUGAGGAAAAAUAGGGAAUGUGGCAUUUACUUCUCUGCACAAUAUCUAAUUUUUGGCUUCCAUUUGUACUGGUGGUGAUGACUUAUAUUACAAUCAUGAUUCUUACUUGCCAACACUUUUCAAUCUAUCACUAUAGUUAUAAGAAUAUCAGUGUUUUGAAAAAACAAACAAAAGUACACCGUUUACAUUUAGAGACUUAUACGCUAUGUGUUUUAUAUAAGAUUUCUAUGGCAGGUUCAUUCCUUGCAAUGUUUAAUACAUUGAAAAUAAAAGAUAUGAGAAUGAAGUGAAUAUUUUGUUUUAUAUGUUCCCUCCUGAUUGCAGUUAUAAUAGGGAGUGCAAUUCUAUUUGUUAGUUUGACCAUCAGAUUGGGUGUGGACUAAACAUAUUAUGUGGUCUACUUAUGUUUCAUAUAUCUAUUACUCCAUACUUGAACGUAAGAGUUGAAUUCCAUAGUAUAUCAGAUCUCUUUCACAUUCGUCACACUUAAAUUCCAGUGUUUUGAGUAGUUUACA